GCUGAAAAAGAUGUAUUAAAAUAUUCACAAAAGUACAACUGAAAAAGAAAAUCAUGAACUUGAUGGUUUUUUUAUGGAGCCGGAUCCCUUUCCAUUGAAAAACUACAGAUAGCUUGCCAUUUUAAUCUUAAGUAAUCCCUUUUAGGUCCCCCCCCACCCCCUUAGAAAAACCUCGUGUAAUUUUAAGAGGUCUCUGCCAGUAAUUAGACACAGAAAGGAUAGCCCUGGCAUUUGAAAGCACCACCACAGUUGUCAUCUGUGGCCAGGGACAAAGAUGGUGAGUCACAGGACCAAAAGGGCCAAAGAUCCACAGGAGCCGGUGGGAGUAGUUUCUGAAAAAGCCUCACGUGUGAGCAGCUCCUUCAGACAAGUCGGUCAUGGAAUGGGAGUCGGUAGGGGCCCACUCUUGCCUGGUGGAGGAGGGUGAUGAAGGCCAAAUAAAGUCUGAGGUAUCUGGUUGAGUGGUCAUGCCCAGAAGGAGGUGCACGGGGGUGGUGUCCCGCUGACAACUGAUUAGCGGGAGUGUAGGCUGGUGCUCUGGGUGGCAGCUUCACAAACAUGCAGAGGAAUUAGGGCUCUUGCUAUCAGGUCAUGUUAGGAAUGUAUAGAUUUAUUAGACCUGCUGAGAAAAGGAGAAAAGGGAGAAAGCCACUUUUCUCUAUAAAAAAUGACUGUGAGGAAACUAUACAUAUCAAGAAUGUGGGCUUGCUACAUUCUUCCCAUAACUGUGGGUUUUCAAUUUCAAAUGAAGAAAAUUAUUUUAAAACAAAAUCAUCCAGAAAAUGGGGAAAUGAGAACGUAAGUGUUUAAUGAUUUUUACCAUGCUUUUCAUCCCCAGUUUAAAAAAAAAAACACAUAGGUUUGAGAUGUAGGUCGGGCAUAGUCAAUGGGAAAAAAUGUUACCGAGAAGGAUGCCAAAAUUGUCUAUAUUUUUCCUCAUCUUAUUGUUUCUCAAUACCAUGUAACUGGGGAGGGGGUGAAAUAAAAAGGAAAGAAGGAAGGGAGAAAGGAAUAAAAAAAAAUGCUGGGAAUCUCUUCUCAGUCCCCCCCCCCCUUUUUUUUUUUUUAAGUGUCUAUGAGUUCCCUGGUGGCUCAGUGGGUUAAGGAUCUUGUCACUGUGGCAGCUCGGGUCACUGCUUGGGCAGGGAUUCAAUCCCUGGCCUGGGAACUUCCCAUGAGCCUUAGGCAUGGCCCAAAAAAUAAAAAAAAAAAAAUUAAAAAAAAGAUUCUCUAGAGAGAGCUCUGGGCUACUAGAGACUGGCAGUUGAAUUAUCCCAUUUCCGCCUUCUCAGAAGGAAAUGAAACACUGCUCCUUUGGCUGUCUGAGGACUUGUUACCAGUAUGAAGAACUAGAGCAAAGAAUAUAACUGAUACUUUUUGCUCUCCAAUGGUACAGGACCCCUCAAGCCAGGCCUGGGUUCUCUAUGUCAAUUAUGUCUGUGGUGUUGAUUGAAAAACACCUGGAAGGAAGUGGCCUCUGGCUUUGGUUCCACGCUAUUAUGAAUCCACAAAUUGACAUAAUAUGCUUAAAGGGCAUCAUGUUAUUGUCUACACAACAUAGAAAGCUAAAAACUGCCCUGUAUUUGAGAGAGAAAAACAUCAAUAAAAAUUCUCAAACUGUCCUCAGGUGGCAUGGAGAAUGGAUGUUUUCUAAAAACCACCACCAAACAGGGGGCACGCUAGGUCAAAGGCCACCCUGAAGGUGCUUCCACCAUAGUAUCGCCACUCUCCAACCACAGGACAUCCUAAGGUGGGUUAAGCCCUUAGAUUAAAAGGCCAUGUCUAUUAGAAUACUAAAAGAGCUGCUACAGUCUCCAUUAAGGCAGACCACAUCUAAGUGAUGGUGACAGGAAUGUGUCUGAAUUUCCUCAAUUGUAAGUGACCCCAAAGGGAAGUACAAAAACAGCAAGACAAUUUACACAUACGUAGAAUCAUACCGCCCCGUCAUCAUGCAACACUGGCUCCUCUCAUCAGGAAGAUUAAAUAGAAUAUUUAUACAUCUCCUUUAUACAAAUCUUUUUCUCCCUCUAUGAAUAAACAUGUGCUUGUUCUUGUCCACGUUUCCAAGGCCACACAUGGUAAUGGACUACAUUUUCUGCAUAAGAGUCCAGUUUGGAUUUGUUUCUUGCUUGUUGGGAUGUCACUGGGGUCUUCUCUUAAUUUUUCCGGAUGUCUGCAUAUACCACAGACUCUGACUUGUUAAUCUUGUCGCUGUGAUGUCCGCCAGAGUGGUCUAGCUGUGCAUAUAUGACUGGGCCCUGGAGAAGAGAAGCAGAAGUAAGACAUUUUGAAAACUAAUUGACUUUAAAACAACAUUGAGGAGUUCCCGUCGUGGCGCAGUGGUUAACGAAUCCGACUAGGAACCAUGACGUUGCGGGUUCGAUCCCUGGCCUUGCUCAGUGGGUUAACGAUCUGGCGUUGCCGUGAGCUGUGGUGUGGGUCGCAGACAUGGCUCGGAUCCCACAUUGCUGUGGCUCUGGUGUAGGCUGGCAGCUCAGCUCCAAUUAGACCCCUAGCCUGGGAACCUCCAUAUGCCACGGGAGUGGCCCAAGAAAUGGCAAAAAGACAAAAAAUAAAAUAAAAAUAAAAUAAAACAACAUUGAGUAUAUCUGGUCAUUGUUCAAGGGGGUACACAGAGAUCUGUUACAUUCCCCUAUCUACUUUUGUAUCUGUUUUAAAAUCUGUAACAAUAUUCUUUCUCAGGGAUUACCUUUAGCUUAAUACCUGUCUCAGAAUUCCUCAACUCUUGCAAUUGGGAUCAGUCUCAAGGACAAAGAUGGGCACUUCUACCAACCUGAGACUUACUGAAAUCAUGACUUUCAGAAUGAACAAGAAUCUAACAUAUUCGGUGCCACUCCAAAAUACAAUCGAUUUGAACUGGUCACUUUAUACAAACAGGUACUUAAAAACUUCAAAUAUUUUCUCUCUCUUCUUCUUCCUCUUUUUUGGCCAUGCCUGCAGCAUGUACAAGUUCCUAGGCCAGGGACUGAACCUAUGCCUAAGCAGUAGAUACAGCCACAGCAAUGACAAUGUCAGAUUCUUAACUUACUGAGCCACUAGAGAACCCCAGAACCUCAAACAUUCUUUCAUGUAUCUUACAGUGCAAUUCUUUUAGUUUAAUCGUAUCAUGAGCAAUAAAAGUAUUGCUUUUUUUAUGGCUACACCUGCAGCAUAUGGAAGUUCCCAGGCCAGAGACUGAAUCCAAGCUGCAGCUGCAGCAACGCAGGAUCAUUUAACCCAUUGUGCUGGGCUGGGGACUGAACCUGCACCUCUGCAGGGACCCAAGCUGCAGCAGUCAGAUUCUUAACCCACUGCGCCAUACCACGAUCUCCAAGUAUUGCUUCUUUGAUAUCUGUUUUUAAAAUUUUUCCAUUUAAACCAUUUUUCCUGUUUUAAAAUUUAAAACAACAACAAACAAAAAAACCAAAGCCACAAUCUAUGGAGCUAUAAGGAAAAGCUCCAGAUGGACUAGAGUGGAAGAGGUUCUCUUAGCUUCAGCAGUAAGGAAGCAACCCGUCAGGGUCCCAUCCAGGAUAGCAAGGAAAAGUUGCCUGGGGAGAGCAAAUCCUUUGACUCUUUGGGAAGGAGGGGGGUUCAAAUAUCAGAAAAGUGGCUGCACUUCACAGUCCUUAAAGACUUCCAACCCAGAGAUUCUAAAAUUGUAAACAACAACAACAUAGCCCUGGUGUGAAGUUUAAUAUAAUCCAAAGUCAACUUUUCUCCCAAUCCAGGGAAACUCUCCUUGCAUACUCUACUCUUGUGCUUAAGCUUUCAACUUUGAAAUCAUGAGCUCAACUGCCAAAAGCAUGUGGUUUAAAACAACCAUCCUCACUCCCAUCUAGAAACACCACAACCUGCAUUCUUUAGUGUGUAUAACGGGAUCCUGCAGAAUUCAGGCACCCCAACUUCUACAGAGGAAACAAACCCAGCUAUAAGGGCUAAACAGUGGUGGACCUAAAAGUGGAGUCAUAAAUUACACCCAGGGGCUAGACCCAUUUGAACUUUAGCAGAUCCACAAUCUACAUGCAUGAGAAAUUCCUUUUGAGUAACAGUAGCACUGGGGAGCACUACACGUGUGGUCUCAGGAGUAUUUUUAAAUUCCCGAGCAUGAGUUUCUUCACCUGUUAAGACAGCACUAACAAUAGUAUUAUACCUCUUAAGGUUUUUGUGAGAAUUAAAUGAGAUGAUAUCUAAACAAAAGCAGUAUCUGACAGGUAGCACUCAAUACACGUCAGUCUCAUCAUGAACAGCCUGCUCUACAAAUAUACUUGCAAGUACACAGAGGUAACCAAUCAAGUAAAUCAAGCAAAAUCAGUGUGUGAUAUUCUCAGGCCUGACAUAGGUAAUACAACAGAUCACGCUGUUAAUACUGAAUCAAACUGAGACCUUCUAUAUUCAUCUCAGAAAGCUGCAAGUUAAAUGUGACUCAAAAAACCACACAUCCUAUUUUCUACUACUAAGAAUGAAAACAAUGAAAGUAUGAAGUAUCUUCUAGUAAGUUAACUAAUCCUUGGUAACAGUCAUUUCCAACAGGAAAGACACCAAAAUUAUGUAAUUUCCUUGACAAUAGGACCUUAUACCAUGAGGAGUUUUAGUUCAUGGGGGAAGGGGUUCAUGCCCCAUGAUGGAUUGUAAAAAUGGCUAUAAAUUCUUUCUUUUGUUGCAUCUACACCCUAAAUAUUAAUGCUGCAACUCCUCCCACCAAGAGCAUGAACCUACUUCUGAAUCCCUUAAAUCUGGGCUGGUCUUGUGACUUGCUUUGACUCACAGAAUGUGGCAGUAGUAACAUGCGCAAGUUCCAUACCCAGCAGGCCUUACAGCUUCCACUCUUCUUGAUCUUGGCAACCGCAGAGCCACCACCCCAUAUGAAGAAGCCCAAGCUUCCUGCUGGCUGAGGGGGACACAUGGCCCUGUGGUCCUCUGUCUCUCUGGUCAACUGCCUGCCAAUUAUCAGCCUAUGAGUGAGACCCCUUCAGGCUGUCCAGCCAACUGAGGAUGCACCAGUGAGCCAGCAGAGGUCAGCUGAACUGCCCCAGACCAGACGAUCUGCCCACAGGAGCAGGAGCCCAAUAGAGGGUGGUUGCUUUAAGCCACUAUCUUUUAAGGUGGCUUGUUACAUAGCAAUAGAUAAUUGAUACACUGUGGGAAUGGGAAAGAAAGAGAACAGAGAGAGCAAACAAGAAAAAUGACAGAAUAAUCUCUGAAUCACUCAGAAAAUGUUAAAACACGAGCAAGGUCUUUCAUGUGAGACAGUACCGUCUUUCAUGGCAAGAGAACACAAGCAUUUGUGGGAAAGUAACUGGGAAAACAUUAAAUGAUAAAAGGAACCCCUUCCUAUUGAUGGAUUUGGUUUCUUCAAAUUGCUUCCCACUAUCUGAUGUCCUCACUCUCUUUCCCCCUUAGAAUGUAACAAGGUCAUAAGGUCAGGGGCUUUGUUAGUUAAAUGGCUUUAACAAUAUUUGGAAGACUAUAGGUGUUGGAUGAAGGGGUGGAUGAAAUAAUGGAUCUAGAGGAAAUGUGGAGUGUGAGUUGAGAUCAGGGAUCUGCUGAUAGAUCUAGUUCAAUCCAGAACAGCUCUCUGGAGUCUUGUUCCAAGGGAUAUUUGCAAGCUACUUUGAAGGCGAAGGAGACCACUCAAGACUUCAGAAGGGGCCAGAGAACCAAGAUCAAUUUGGAAGCAAACGUGCCAUCGCCAAGACAUUUACUUUUGGGUGUUUGAGAGUUAAAACAAUAUUACCACCACCUACACUAACCUAGCUGUUUUUACUGUAAACCGCUUGACACUCACUCUUCCUCAUCCUCUUUUUUUUAAAAAUGGGCUGUACUUGUGGCAUAUGGAAGUUCCCAGACUAGGGAUUGAAUUGGAGCCGCAGCUGCCAGCCAAUGCAACAUCUGUGACCUACACCAAGCUCACAGCAGUGCCAGAUCCUAAAUCCACUCAGUGAGGCCAAGGAUCAAACCCACAUCCUCAUGGAUACUAGUUGGGUUCAUAAUCUGCCUAGCCACAAAGGGAACACCUCCGUUUUUGUUUUUUUUUUUUUGUUUUUUUUGACGUUGCCACAAAGAAUUACAACAACCAAGUAAAAAAUUACCCUUACUUAUACA
Molecule: long non-coding RNA, 6105 nt
Filed under: Sus scrofa (pig)
Lineage: Eukaryota; Metazoa; Chordata; Mammalia; Artiodactyla; Suidae
Description: lncRNA (ENSSSCG00035018344.1)
Source: RNAcentral